CAAAUGUUUCCUGUGCAAGUUUGAAUCUCUCUCAGUCAUGGGGGUGAUUGACUGACAGACUACGUUACUCUCUACCAAACGGUUAUUCACUUAUAAAACCUUUUAAAGUUUAGCGCAAAUGUUUCCUGUGCAAGUUUGAAUCUCUCUCAGUCAUGGAGGUGAUUGACUGACAGACUACGUUACUCUCUACCAAACGGUUAUUCACUUAUAAAACCUUUUAAAGUUUAGCGCAAAUGUUUCCUGUGCAAGUUUGAAUCUCUCUCAGUCAUGGGGGUGAUUGACUGACAGACUACGUUACUCUCUACCAAACGGUUAUUCACUUAUAAAACCUUUUAAAGUUUAGCGCAAAUGUUUCCUGUGCAAGUUUGAAUCUCUCUCAGUCAUGGGGGAGAUUGACUGACAGACUACGUUACUCUCUACCAAACGGUAAAGUUUAGCGCAAAUGUUUCCUGUGCAAGUUUGAAUCUCUCUCAGUCAUGGGGGUGAUUGACUGACAGACUACGUUACUCUCUACCAAACGGUUAUUCACUUAUAAAACCUUUUAAAGUUUAGCACAAACGUUUCCUGCGCAAGUUUGAAUCUCUCUCAGUCAGUCAGGGGGGAGAUUGACUGACUGACUGACUGACUACUCGCCACCAAACAGUCAUUUACCCAGAAACCUUUUAAAGGAAACGUAACCACAUUUAUUAAUGUAUUUAUUGUGUUAUUUGAGUACCCCACAGUUCUGUAAGUGGAAAAUUAAUUCAUAUUUAUGUGUUUUCUCACAGUUUAGCACAAACGUUUCCUGCGCAUGUUUGGAUCUUUACCAUUCAGGAGACUGGCUGACUGUUCUCAACCAACCAUCAUUCACACGCAAAAACUUUAAAGAUAAGUAUGAAAGUGCCCAGAGCAGUUUUCGAUCUUUAAAUUACCAUUAAGGAGGCUGACUGACUAUCAUCUACCACCCGUCAUUAACACAACAAAAACUAAAGAAAUGUUACUCCAUAUGGACCUAUACAUUUACUCAUUAUGCUGUGAGUACACCACAGUUUUAUCAGUGAAAAAAAUUAUAUUUGUGUGUUUUCUCACUGCUUGGCAAGGACAGAUGUGGCCCUGUUAAAAAUGUUUAAAUGUUGUUUGGUUUAAGGAACAGCGCACUGAAUUUGUUAUAAAAUAUUCCUGUUUGGACAGUCUGUUAAAGUCAUAAAGGAAUGGUUGAUAUAUUUCAUAAGGAAAGUGUAAAUGUAAUAUUAGUUUUUAAUGUUGUGAAUUUGGACUGAACAACACACUUCUGUUUUAUAUCUAAACCUUUUGUAAAAUAAAUGAUUAUUCAAUAAACUCACUGUGUAUUUUA
Misgurnus anguillicaudatus (oriental weatherfish) is the source of this 1333-nucleotide non-coding RNA. NCBI's taxonomy places the organism in Eukaryota, Metazoa, Chordata, Actinopteri, Cypriniformes, Cobitidae. The record is from RefSeq and is a predicted model, not a curated record.